GAGGGUAUAGCUCAGUGGUAGAGCACAUGCUUAGCGUUCCCAAGGUCCUGGGUUCGAUCCCCAGUACCUCCA
This 72-nucleotide transfer RNA is filed under the name Camelus bactrianus (Bactrian camel). It matches the Rfam family "tRNA". Rfam says of the family: Transfer RNA (tRNA) molecules are approximately 80 nucleotides in length. Their secondary structure includes four short double-helical elements and three loops (D, anti-codon, and T loops). The record is from Rfam by way of RNAcentral. Lineage: Eukaryota; Metazoa; Chordata; Mammalia; Artiodactyla; Camelidae. RNAcentral also lists the same sequence under 1 other name.